RNAcentral lists this long non-coding RNA (215 nucleotides) under Gossypium raimondii (Peruvian cotton). RNAcentral describes it as "long non-coding RNA (GRAI_LNC006149)". The record is from RNAcentral. Lineage: Eukaryota; Viridiplantae; Streptophyta; Magnoliopsida; Malvales; Malvaceae.
CAUGCAAGAUCACAACCAAUUGGGAUGCUCUGAAGAGCUAUUAACAGGAAGCUCGCAAGAACCAUAUAACAGGAAGCCCAUGAGAGCUAAUAACGGACGCUCUUUUGAGUUGUGGUGUGUCCGCAACACAUGUAGGACCACAACCAAUUCGGGAACCCUGUAUCCAUCAAAUUUUAUUUAUUCAAACAAGACUUAAUACUUGUCAGUCAUCGUCG